This 253-nucleotide ribosomal RNA is filed under the name uncultured bacterium. Its description in RNAcentral is "partial 16S ribosomal RNA". It matches the Rfam family "Bacterial small subunit ribosomal RNA", at positions 524 to 776 of the family's 1533-position model. The record is from RNAcentral.
UACGGAGGAUCCGAGCGUUAUCCGGAUUUACUGGGUUUAAAGGGUGCGUAGGCGGCCCUGCCAGUCAGCGGUGAAAUGUGGCGGCUCAACCGUUUCGCUGCCGCUGAUACUGCGGGGCUUGGAUGCGGUCGAGGCGGGUGGAAUUCGUGGUGUAUCGGUGAAAUGCAUAGAUAUCACGAGGGAAGCCGAUAGCGAAGGCAGCUCGCCGGGCCGCGAUCGACGCUGAGGCACGAAAGCGUGGGGAUCAAAAAGG